AAUAAAUAAGGCACUGUUGCCAGGGCCUGAGCCCAGCAGAAAAAGGGUGUGUGCAGAGGGAGGGCCUUGGGUCCUGCUGCUCCUCCUGGACUCCUUCAUCCCAAUGCCUUCACAUCCUCCUCUGACAAGGACUCCCACGUCCCUCCCCGGCUAACCUGGAUCCUGCUCAACCCAACACCUGCCUUCUCUCAGUCCCUGGGUUCCUGCAGGCCUUGGGGCCCCACAGUCAUAUCUGCUGUUCCUGCAGCAAUCAGCCAUGACUGCCUUUGCACUGUCCAUGCUCUCAGCCCACCACCUCGUCCCCCUGCCAUUGCAGUGGCUAACACUGGAGACGAAGACCAAGACACCACCGCCUUUCUCCAGUACCUCUCAAAUCAGCACAGACAAGGACAAAGGCCUCAAUCCACAACUGCUGAUGAUGGACCCUGGCCACAUGGGAUGGUCAGACGCGCCUGCCCAGCUAUCUGCAGGCGAAGAGGCUCAGAAGAGGUUUGGGGGCCUGAAGGACAUCUUGCUCCCAUGUGCAUAUGGGCAGGCUAUUUCUGCUCCAUGAGUCAAUUUUGCCAUAUAAAAUACUUAAUUUCAGCCAUUCCAGGGUGCUAUAGGAUGCACAGCUUCCCAUCAGCCCACCUGAACUCCAGCCAUGCCAUUUUAAUACCAGGAAUGAGGUCACCUGCUUUCCUGCCCCUUAGGAGGCCAGAGC
This 703-nucleotide long non-coding RNA is filed under the name Gorilla gorilla gorilla (western lowland gorilla). RNAcentral describes it as "lncRNA (ENSGGOG00000044632.1)". The record is from RNAcentral. Lineage: Eukaryota; Metazoa; Chordata; Mammalia; Primates; Hominidae.